GUUGAACGCUAGCGGCAGGCUUAACACAUGCGAGUCGAGGGGCAGCGGGGAGGAAGCUUGCUUUCUCCGCCGGCGACCGGCGCACGGGUGAGUAACACGUAUGCAACCUGCCCCUGUCAGGGGGACAACCCGCCGAAAGGCGGGCUAAACCCGCGUACAUGCCACCGGGGCAUCCCGGAGGCAGGAAAGGCUUCGGCCGGACAGGGAUGGGCAUGCGGCGCAUUAAGCAGUAGGCGGGGUAACGGCCCUCCUAUCCGCCGAUGCGUAGGGGUUCUGAGAGGAAGGUCCCCCACACUGGUACCGAGACACGGACCAGACUCCUACGGGAGGCAGCAGUGAGGAAUAUUGGUCAAUGGUCGGGAGACUGAACCAGCCAAGCCGCGUGAGGGAUGAAGGUACAGAGUAUCGUAAACCUCUUUUGUCAGGGAACAAAGGCGGGGACGUGUCCCCGGAUGAGUGUACCUGAAGAAAAAGCAUCGGCUAACUCCGUGCCAGCAGCCGCGGUAAUACGGAGGAUGCGAGCGUUAUCCGGAUUUAUUGGGUUUAAAGGGUGCGCAGGCGGUCUGUUAAGUCAGCGGUCAAAGCCCGGGGCUCAACCCCGGCCCGCCGUUGAAACUGGCAGUCUCGAGUUGGAGAGAAGUAUGCGGAAUGCGCGGUGUAGCGGUGAAAUGCAUAGAUAUCGCGCAGAACUCCGAUUGCGAAGGCAGCAUGCCGGCUCCACACUGACGCUGAGGCACGAAAGCGUGGGUAUCGAACAGGAUUAGAUACCUGGGUAGUCCACGCAGUAAACGAUGAAUGCUGGCUGUCCGGGGGGAUUGACCCCUGGGUGGCGAAGCGAAAGCGAUAAGCAUUCCACCUGGGGAGUACGCCGGCAACGGUGAAACUCAAAGGAAUUGACGGGGGCCCGCACAAGCGGAGGAACAUGUGGUUUAAUUCGAUGAUACGCGAGGAACCUUACCCGGGCUCAAACGGGGAGUGACUCAGGCAGAGACGCCUGUUUCCCACGGGACACUCCCCGAGGUGCUGCAUGGUUGUCGUCAGCUCGUGCCGUGAGGUGUCGGCUUAAGUGCCAUAACGAGCGCAACCCCCGCGUGCAGUUGCUAACAGAUAACGCUGAGGACUCUGCACGGACUGCCGGCGCAAGCCGCGAGGAAGGCGGGGAUGACGUCAAAUCAGCACGGCCCUUACGUCCGGGGCGACACACGUGUUACAAUGGGUGGUACAGCGGGAAGCCAGGCGGCGACGCCGAGCGGAACCCGAAAUCCACUCUCAGUUCGGAUCGGAGUCUGCAACCCGACUCCGUGAAGCUGGAUUCGCUAGUAAUCGCGCAUCAGCCAUGGCGCGGUGAAUACGUUCCCGGGCCUUGUACACACCGCCCGUCAAGCCAUGGGAGCCGAGGGCGCUUGAAGUGCGUCGCCGCGAGGCGCGCCCUAGAGCGAAAUCGGUGACUGGGGCUAAGUCGUAACAAGG
RNAcentral lists this ribosomal RNA (1470 nucleotides) under uncultured bacterium. RNAcentral's name for it is "16S ribosomal RNA". It matches the Rfam family "Bacterial small subunit ribosomal RNA". The record is from RNAcentral.